AUUAUGUAUUAUAAAAAUAUAUCAAAGUUUUAAACUUCAGUAGAAGGUGAUCAAUCUUAUAUGAAAACAAGGUUUAAUAAAGUUAAAAUGAGUUCAUUAGCAUAUGGCUCAUGUAAUACAACUGGGGUUGUUAUGAGAAUGAAAAAUUUGGCCUCUGAGACAAGCACAGAGGGUCAGUGAUGGAGACACACAGAAGAAUAUCACGUGAAGGGACAGAGACUGGACUUGUGCUGCCACUGACCAAGGAACAUCUAAGCAACUGGAAGCCACAGAACCUAAGGAAGGAGCCCUUCUGUACAGAUUUCAGAGGGAGACAUUCAUGUUGACAUCUUGACUUCCAGCUUUGAGCCUCCUGAACUUUUCAGUUGUGUAAUUCAGCAUUGUCAUGUACAGUCGUAUUUGGGAUUCCCCCAAAUUUAACAAUGACACUCAAAGAGACCUAGUUUUUGGUCAGACACAUAAAGACCUUGGAAAUUCAAAUCCAUCCUAAAAAGAUUAAAAAUGCUGCACUCCAACGAGGCCCAACAACAGGGAAGACUGUCAAAUGUUUGAGUUUUACCUUCAGGAUCCCUACCAGGUUCACAAGCUGAAUUGACCUGGACAAGAAAAUCACUUAAACUGCAAUGAGAUAUCACUACCCAUCUACAAAAAUGAGCAAAAUCUGGAACAUUGAAAGGAACAAAUGCCAGCAAAAUGCUACUGUGGCAUAAAGAAGCAUAAAUUUGAGUCAUUUUUUUAAAAAAUAGAUUCACUUUGAGAUCUUAAUGUUAAGUGAAAUAAAUCAGACAUGCAAUCUUCAAUAGCACAUGAUUUAUCUUAUAUGAGAAACCCAAAGUAUGAUUAAAGAGCAAAAUGAAAGAUCAAUAAUGGGAAAUGGAGAUAGAACUUUUACAAAAGAGAAGGGGACCAAGACAUGGGAAGAAGGAAAGGGGACAUGAAAAGAAUUAAGAUUGUGUUAAGUACAUGUACCAACUCCCCACAAUGAAGAUAAUCAUUAUGUACCAGAAGUUAUUAUAAAAGAGAAUAAGGAGGAACAGAAAGUAUUAUUUAUUACUGAGAUAAUGUAAAAUGAUGAAGUUUGGUAAUUUCUUACAAAUUUAAAAAUGAUUGUACCAUAUAAUCUAACAAAUUGCCUCCUUAUUUUCUGAAAUUAAUUAAAAACAUGUCUACACAAACCCUGUACACAAACCUUUGUAACAGCUUUUAUCAUAAAUUACUCAAAUAUAAAAUCAACAAAGGUGUGUUUCACCUUGGGCAAAUGGGCAAAAAGGACAAAUGGAUAAACUACAUUAUAUCCAGACAAUGGGAAAGAAAUGAGCUAUUAGAGUAAGAAAAAACACAAAGAAGCCUUAAAAGUACAUUAUUAAAUAAUGAAGAUAACCUGAAAAGGCUACAUAAUAUAUGAUCCAACCUAUGUACCAUUUUGUAAAAGGCAAAUCUAUAGUGACAGUAGUUUCCAGAGAUCAGAAAGAAAGGAUGGCCAAGCAGAUCACAGGAGAACUUUUAGGGCAGUGAAACAAUGCUGUAUGAAACUAUAGUGAUGAAUACUCUAUAUGCUGUUAUAUAUUUGUCUAAUUUCAUAGAACAUAUACCACCAAAAGUGAACCCUAAUGUAAACUAUGGACUUUAAGGUUGCAGCUGUGUUAAUUAAUUUUCAUUAAUUAUGACAAAUAUAGCAAUCUGAUGUGGAUGUAGGGCCAGGUACAGAAGAUAUAUGGACACUAUACUUUCUUCUCAAUUUUUCUAUGACAUUAAAAUAUUGUUAAAAAAUAAUGUCUAUUUUUACAUGGCACUUAUAAACAUAUUAUCAUUAUUCACAUUCUCUGAAUAUGAGUUUGGGUAUCUAAUAUAUUUAAAUGUUCAGUAAGCGAGAAAUAAAAAGUGGCAAUCUAAAUAUAGGAAAUGAUAAUCUGAUUAAUGGAAAGCAACAUAUUAUUCUAUGAAGAGUGAAGAAAGAGCUAUGAUGAAGAUUUGUUUUUCAUUUAAAUCCAUUGGUAAGAAAACAAUAAAAAUCAUCCUUUCCUUUUCUUUUUUUAUUUUUAAAUAAAUGGAAUAUAUUGUGAUUAGAUUAUCUUUCAAAGUUAAAAUAUAUCUGCAUUGAUG
Heterocephalus glaber (naked mole-rat) is the source of this 2103-nucleotide long non-coding RNA. The record is from Ensembl. Lineage: Eukaryota; Metazoa; Chordata; Mammalia; Rodentia; Bathyergidae.